CAAAUACGUAAGGGACUAUGUCUUAUUAAAUUCUAAAUAAUAAGCUGAUAAUGACAAUUUAUUAUUUAAAAGUCUUGACCAAAUCUUGUGCCAGCAGUCGCGGCAAUACAAGUAAGACGAGUGUUAUUCAUCAUUAUUAGGUUUAAAAUGUACCUAGAUUGCGACCCUCGCCUUAUAAAGGAACAGGGUGAGCUAGAGUUUUAUGUGAGAGGUAUAUGUUAAAGCUGCAGGUGUAAAGAUGAAAUAAGUUGAUACUUGUAGAAAUGAUAACGGUAAAUACAGGCCUUUAUGUAAAAACUGACAUUGAGGGACGAAGGCCUGGGUAGCAAAUAGGAUUAGAUACCCUAGUAGUCCAGGCAGAAAAUUAUGAGUGUUAUAUAUUAUAGUAAUGUAGUGUAUAAAUUAAAGUGUAAGCAUUCUACCUCAAGAGUAAUGCGGCAACGCAGGAACUGAAAUCAUUAGACCGUUUCUAAAACCAGUAGUGAAGUAUGUUAUUUAAUUCGAUGACCCUCGAAUAACCUUACCACAAUUUGAAUGUAUUAUCUUUUUGCGCAAAACAAUCUCAAGUUUAUUUAAAAACAAAAGAUUAUUAAGCGCAUUUAAUUUUAGUAUAAAUAUACUAAAACCUAGAUAAUAUACAGGCGUUGCACGGUUGUCUUUAGUUAAUGUCGUGAGAUUAUGAUUAGAUUCAUUAAAUUAGCGUAAACCCUUGUUUUAUUUAGUUAUUAUGGAACAUAGCAACGUGAAGUUUUUUUGCGCAUG
RNAcentral lists this ribosomal RNA (762 nucleotides) under Peltaster sp. P8. RNAcentral's name for it is "SSU rRNA". It matches the Rfam family "Bacterial small subunit ribosomal RNA", at positions 418 to 1159 of the family's 1533-position model. The record is from RNAcentral. Lineage: Eukaryota; Fungi; Ascomycota; Dothideomycetes.